RNAcentral lists this ribosomal RNA (744 nucleotides) under uncultured fungus. RNAcentral's name for it is "eukaryotic LSU rRNA". It matches the Rfam family "Eukaryotic large subunit ribosomal RNA", at positions 38 to 633 of the family's 3401-position model. Lineage: Eukaryota; Fungi. The record is from RNAcentral.
GCAUAUCAAUAAGCGGAGGAAAAGAAAAUAACAAUGAUUCCCCUAGUAACUGCGAGUGAAGAGGGACAAGCUCAAAUUUUAAAUCUGUCGGGUUCUACCUGACCGAGUUGUAAUUUGAAGAGGCGUUUUCUGUGUUUCUGAUCAGUCCAAGUCCUUUGGGAUAAGGCAUCACGGAGGGUGAGAAUCCCGUUCGGUUGAUCAGAUUCGCUUUACGAUACGUCAUCAAAGAGUCAAGUUGUUUGGGAUUGCAGCUUAAAAUGGGAGGUAAAUUUCUCCUAAGGCUAAAUAACGGCGAGAGACCGAUAGCGAACAAGUACCGUGAGGGAAAGAUGAAAAGAACUUUGAAAAGAGAGUUAAAUAGUACGUGAAAUUGUUGAAGGGGAAACGGUUGAAGCCAGUCGUACCUGCGGGUAAUCAGCCUUUUGGGCAUGAUUCUGUGGAGCGUGAGGAGUUAAACGCCUUCAUGCCUGCAUAUUCGUGCUCUUGGGUGUACUUGCUCGUGUGGUUGGUUAACAUCAAUUUCGGAUAUCAUAAAAUGGCUGGAGGAAUGUAGCUUCGAUUUCGAUUGAAGUGUUAUAGCCUUCGGCAGAUGUGAUGAUCGGGAUUGAGGAUUGCAACGGAUACCCUUCGGGGCUACCAGUCUGAUCUCUGAUCGUUGCUUUGGUGCCGAAAGCGUGCUUACGGUUAUCAAAGUCGAUGGUUAAUAGGUUAGAACGGGUUAAAUUCGUUAAGGAUGUUGACGUA